GUUUGAAGUAGUUGUGCUGGUGUUAGACGAAUAGGCAAUGGUGGGUGGUACUUGGGAGCUUUGUCUAUGACUUGAAGGAUCUGUCUACUUUGUCCUUGUUAAGUUGCUAUUCAUGUUGGUAAGUUUCAUUUGCUCGUCGUUCAAUAUCUUCGAGAUUUGCUUCUACACCACGGCUGGGAAAGCCAUCUCAUCGACAUAGUGCAUGUGCCAGAGCUGUGACAACCCCUCUCCUCCAUGUAUAAUAGUUUUCAUGUCCCUGUUUGCAGUUU
RNAcentral lists this unclassified non-coding RNA (269 nucleotides) under Hevea brasiliensis (rubber tree). The record is from RNAcentral. Lineage: Eukaryota; Viridiplantae; Streptophyta; Magnoliopsida; Malpighiales; Euphorbiaceae.